GGGAGGUGCUGUCGGAUUUUUGACCAUUUGUUGGGGAUUUCACUCAUUCGAGUAUUCUAAAGGUUGUUAAAUAUGGGUAAUAGAGCAUGUAUGUAUGGCAUACGGAGACAUUCGCAUACUUUCAUGUCAGACGCUACGAAGAAGCACGCUCACGUUUGCAACAAUAUUGUAUGGGACGAUACUGAUGUCAUCAAGAGGUAUUUGAUAAAGCGAGGGUUUGUGGAUGGAUACACAAUUUGGUCCCACCACUGUGAGGCAGGAGGUACUUUCAACAACACAGACAUCGACAGUGACCGUGACGAAGUGGGUGGUGAUGAUGUAAAUGAAAAUGAUCAUGUUAUCACACGGAUAUGUUACUUCUUCAACGUGAUUUUGUAGAAAGUGAUCGAUUGUGUCGAGUUGGCUAGGCUUCAACUGUUUGUACUGGAAAUUUAGGCCCAGCUCAAUAUGUGCUUCCCUUCGUCCUUUUUCAA
Molecule: long non-coding RNA, 473 nt
Organism: Setaria italica (foxtail millet)
Lineage: Eukaryota; Viridiplantae; Streptophyta; Magnoliopsida; Poales; Poaceae
Exons: 2
Source: RefSeq, a predicted model, not a curated record